AGGAUAAACGCUGGCGGCGUGCCUAACACAUGCAAGUCGAACGCCCUUUUGCUCGCAAGAGCCAGAGGAAGUGGCGGACGGGUGAGUAACACAUGGGUAACCUACCCCCCAGUGAGGAAUACCGGCGAGAAAUCGCCGACAAGACCGCAUAGGCUCGGUCCGGUGAAGCGGAGCGAGCAAAGUCUCGCAAGAGACGCUGAGGGAUGGGCCUGUGGCCGAUUAGCUAGUUGGUAAGGUAAAGGCUUACCAAGGCGACGAUCGGUAGCUGGUCUGAGAGGACGAACAGCCACACUGGGAUUGAGAACGGCCCAGACUCCUACGAGGGGCAGCAGUGAGGAAUUUUCCGCAAUGGACGCAAGUCUGACGGAGCAACGCCGCGUGCAGGAGGACGCUUUUCGGAGUGUAAACUGUCUUUUCUGUGGGACGAGCGUGGACGGUACCACGAGGAAGAAGCCCCGGCUAACUACGUGCCAGCAGCCGC
Molecule: ribosomal RNA, 481 nt
Filed under: uncultured bacterium
Lineage: Bacteria
Description: SSU rRNA
Rfam family: Bacterial small subunit ribosomal RNA
Source: RNAcentral